Non-coding RNA from Oryza nivara, 84 nucleotides. The record is from Rfam. Lineage: Eukaryota; Viridiplantae; Streptophyta; Magnoliopsida; Poales; Poaceae.
UGGCCAGUGAUGAGAUGAAACGUGAGUUGUGCAGCCACUCCACUGAAACCAAAUGAAGCGCAGGGAUUAGUCCUUCUGAGGCCA